Non-coding RNA from Doryrhamphus excisus (bluestripe pipefish), 5820 nucleotides. The record is from RefSeq and is a predicted model, not a curated record. Lineage: Eukaryota; Metazoa; Chordata; Actinopteri; Syngnathiformes; Syngnathidae.
UGGAAGAGUGAGGUUACAGGUAGAAGAGAAUUUGAAGUACUCGGGGUCAACAGUUCAGAACAAUGGAGAUUGGAGAAGGAUGGAACGGGUGGAGGAACGUGUCAGGCGUGAUGUGAUAGAAGAGUUUCAGCUAAAAUGAAAGGAAAGCUAUACAAAACUGGUGAGAGCAGCCAUGUUGUUUGGUCUAGAGACAGGAAGCAGAACUGGAGGUAGCAGAGAUGAGGAUGCUGAGGUUCUCAUUGGGAGUGACCAGGAUGGAUAGGAUCAGGAAGGAGUAGAUCAGGGGGACAUUACAUGUUAGAGAUUAUGGGCCAGACUGAGAUGGUUGGGACAUGUCCAGAGGAGAGAGAGUCAAUAUAUUGGUAGAAGGCGUAGAGGAGGACCAAAGAGGAGCUUUAUGGAUGUAAUGGAGGACAUGAGGGUGGUUGGUGUGAGAGAGACAGAUGCAGAAGAUGGGGUUGGAUGGAGGAGAUUGGUUUGCUCCAAAUAGGCUGGAAUCCCACCAGUAGAUGAUCCAAAUGGUAGCGUAUCAUAAUGAAAUAGUGACUUCAAGUACUACAUACAGUGAAAAAAAUAAGUCAUUUUAAUUUUUCCAUAUCGCGCAUUGAUUGGACAAUAAAAUAAGUAAGGCAGCAGAUACAGGCACAUGUAACAGUUGUAACAUACAAUCAUAUUUUCAUCUGCAUACAUAUUCAAGUCAUUCCCAUUGCUCUGAUGACAUCCUAGCUGCGUAAAUAGGCAGACAAACGUGACGCGUCAUCACAAUCUUUGGCUUGAAGCAAAUAUUACAUUGGCAUAUUUUUUAUUUUUCCAGUGCAAAACCAGAGAUGUUCUUAAACAGAUGAUUCAUGCUCCACGUAAGUCGUGGCAGGAACUAAACGCUCAUGUGUUGCUUUGUCGUCCGUGCCGCUGAGGUCUUUAUGCUCUGCUGGCUGCACGCUGCACACCUAAAACCGAAUCAGAAGGUCACAUGACCUGUCAAACCUGAAUGGAAACGCUGGUUGAAGUCACCUCUGACCCCAAAAUGUCAAACUUACAGGCUGCGGCGUAGCGGUCACACAGCACAGCUUCUUUUUCUGCAGCUUCCCCAGCAAAGGGUAGACGGUACCCGGAGCCACGUCCUCCUCUCUGGUGUGACCUUUCCAUCAACAUCAAAUAUAUUUCCAAUUUAUUGAAAUAUUGAUUUCAGUGGAAGAAAGUUGUGCUGCAUGCUUUGAAUGGGGGAAGCAGUGCCAUCUGGUGGACAAAGCUAAGAAUGAAACACUGAAAACCAGCCGUGCAAAUUCAAGGUUUGUGUCGGGGCUGCACGGGCAACUAGUGGUUAGCGCUCAGGCCUCACAGCUGGGAGACCCGAGUUCAAUUCCACCCUCGGGCAUCUCUGUGUGGAGUUUGCAUGUUCUCCCCGUGCAUGCGUGGGUUUUCUCCGGGUACUCCGGUUUCCUCCCACAUUCCAAAAACAUGCUAGGUUAAUUAGCCACUCCAAAUUGUCCAUAGGUAUGAAUGUGAGUGUGAAUGGUUGUUUGUCUAUAUGUGCCCUGGGAUUGGCUGGCCACCAGUCCAGGGUGUACCCCGCCUCUCGCCCCAAGACAGCUGGGAUAGGCUCCAGCACCCCUGUGACCCUCGUGAGGAUAAGCGGUAGAAAACAGAAUGAAUAAAAUGAAGAUAUGAAGAGGAAAAAAAGUAAUAUUCUGUUGACAAAAAAUCCCAUCAAAUUCUGAGAAUUUAAAAAGAUUAUUUAAGAAGAAAUUUGAAAAAUAUAAAGAGCUAAGUUGAUAUAAUGAUGGGCUUUUUCACCUGAGAUGCACUUUUGUUAUAUGCAUAUUUACAAAAUAUCCUUUCAUUUGCUGUGAAAUGUUGGGACCCCCCCUUAAGAGGCGAGGCUGUGUAACCGUACCUAAUGAAGUGUCCAGUGAGCGUACCUGUGAAGUAGCUGACGACCAGACCAGUCAGGAUGACCACCCAGCAGUUGAAGCCACUGUACCACAUGUAGGACAGCGAAUAAAACCCCCCCAGUCCAGACCACGCCCGACUAAAGACGCAACGGGAGUCGAGGUGGCGUUGGGGGCCCCGCAGUCGGGUGGAAGCGGCCGGGUGACCGUGCUCCCGAUGCCGAUCCAGAAGGCCACGGUCAGACCUGCCCCCAGCCCUGCGAUGGCACCCUGGAUUACGCAUCGGCCAUCACAUGGAUUACCACCAGAUGCGGUGGAGGAGGGGGUGCAGGGGUCAAGGACAAAAUCAUAACAUUCCGGUGAAGAUCUGAAUAAAGCUGCAGAAUCAAGGACGUAAUCGUUGCACAACUACCCAUCAUGCAUGAGCGAAAGUUUGGAUACCCCUCCGUCCGUUUGGCUCUUUAGUUUGAACUCACAGUGGGGUUGGCCCAAGGGAAGAACAUCCCCAGACAGAAGAGACCCAGAUUUGGGCCACCAACCAUUCCAAAGAUCUUCAACGCCACCUGCAGAAGCAAGAUGGCAACCGGUGUGAUGGAAAAGAGCUGACAGGAUGGUGACGCCAGCUUACCUGCAGAACCGAGUCGCCCAUCAGUUGUUGUAGUGCUGACCAACCUGAGAGCGGCACUGAAUAAACAAGCCACAAAGAGUCCAGGCAGUCCUGGAAGAUCUCGCAGCAUGUCCAUCACAAAGUGAAUCACUACCUGUGUAAAAAAACCCAGGUUUGCACAUUUGGAAGUGAGCUCCGGAAGAACUUUGGGAUGGCUCAAAACGCUCCUUUUGUCUAACUCCAUCUCCCUGCGAUGUCACAACUCAUCAAUCCGGCAAAUCAAAAGACCUUUCUUCUCCAAAAGGGUCUCCCGUGGAUUUGUCCAUGCUGCUUCAGCAGACGAUUCUGUUCUUAUUGGCCAAUUCCGUGAUUCCGAUAAAGCGGAAAGGCCAAUUGGACAGUAUAUCAUGAAUGCACAGUCAGCCCUUGAAGCUCACCGCGUCCCGUGAAGAGGCGCCCGGCCCGUCCAAGUGUUCCUCUCCACUGUAACGUGCAAACAUGACCAGGCCCAUCACGCAGCUCAGAGCCAGAGCCAGCUGCAAGGAGGGAAAGGCCAUGUAGCAAGACCUGCAGACAAGUAGCACGUCAACGUCACGUCGUCCACUUGGUUUGAAUCCGAGCCUCCAACCUGACGGCCUCGUCCUCUGUGCGAGCGCUGAGGUAUCUUUGGACCUGGGCCUGGUUCACGCCGUACAGGGACAGCAUCAGGAAGACCCCGCCGACGCCCAGAGUCCAGAAGACCCGAGAUGCGGUUUCCCUCCCAGGCUUUCCUCCACACAUGAGAAAGUCCUCCGGUUUGUUGUAUCCCCACGACGAUGACGGCCAGCUGCCCGGCGAACAUCACGGCGGUCUGGAAGACGUCGGUCCAAAUGACGGCCUUCAAACCACCCUGUCAAGGUAGCAGACACCUUUUUCACCAAUCAAUGGAAGAUCAUGAACCAUCUGGGACACAAGUACCUUUUCAUGAAACAGGACUUGAACUAUGGAAAUGAUUCCUGAAGCCAGAGACUCUCGUCAUAUACGGAGUGAUAUCAUGGUCCCGUAGCCUAAGCAUUAGCAAUGUGGUGUAAACAAAUAAUCAUCAAAGUGUCAAACUGGAUAUAGGGGUGUUAUUUAAUGGCUACAAGGCUCUAAUCAUGGCAAAACUUUAGAAAGUCCAACAGAUGGUGGCCAGCCAAUCCCAGGGCACAUAUAGACAAACAACCAUUCACACUCACAUUCAUACCUAUGGACAAUUUGGAGUGGCUAAUUAACCUAGCAUGUUUUUGGAAUGUGGGAGGAAACCGGAGUACCCGGAGAAAAGCCACGCAUGCUGUGAGGUCUGAGCGCUAACCACUAGACCGCCGUGCCGCCGGUAUCAUAUAUGAAUUAGUCAAAUCAGGCUGCAAAAAAGUGAACUAAGAAAAGCUGCAGUUUGUCAUAUGAAUAAGUGUUAGGAAGUCUUUUGUCGCGUCCUGUCGUUUCAGACAAAAUGGCCAUCUUGUAUUUCUUACCAUGGUCGUGUACAACGUGCACACCAGCCCCGUGACCACCACUACCACCCACAGGUCAAAUCCAGUCACUAAACAGGAGGAAGUGAUGCAUUAGAGUACAGUAUAGUAUAUGACACAGCGUGUAUGGCCAUGAUGUAGUAUUUUACAGUACCUGCAUUGAGUGCGAAGGCAGGAGUAUACAUGCAAACUCCCAUGUAGAUAACCUGAGCAGGGCGAGAACACGGUGUCCUAAAUGUCCUCAAUGUGGAAGCCAAUGUUUGUGUCUCACCUACCAUCUGAAAGAUGAAGGUCAGCGUUCCACAGAUGCGGACGGUUUUAUUGAAGCGCAGUUCAAGGUACUGUAAAUGGACGACACGUUACACUAAGCAUUGAUCACUCAAAGAUGGACGCACAUCCAGAAACCUCCCGCACUACACCUGGUAGGCGCUGGAGAUGCGGAGCCUGUACAAGACCGGUAUGAAAACCCGAGCCGGGAUGAGGAGGCCGAGGAUGUAAGCGCAGCCGAUGAACCAGUACUGCGUCCCGUGCGCGUAGAUCUCCGCCGGUACGCCGAUGAUGGCCACGGCAGACUGGAAGGAGGCGAUGAGUGACAGGGAAACGGGAAGACAGCGCAUGCUGCGGCCCGCCAUCAGGAACUCCUGCGUGGUGCGCUGGCGCCCGCCAGACAGCGCGUAGUACAACCCGAUGGCCAUGGAGGCGGCCAGGAGGACGGCAAAUAUCACGUAGUCCGCUACUGUAAAGUGAUUGGACGGGUCCAUCUGGAGCGCGGUGUCAGAAGGUUCUGGCCCCCUCCCAGGCACCAGACGGGUAGGGAAGAUUCUUGGAUGCCAGCAUCCGUCAGCAGCCACCUUGGGAGCAGAAGAUUUCCUUAUAUGGGCGUGGCUGGAAGCCAGAUAAACUCUCUGCCCUCCCCCACGCUUCCUUCUAAAAUGCUAAAGCUAGUUAGCAUUGAGAUACGUCUCGAAGUAACCUCUUUUUGAAAUUGAGCAUCAUACUGUAGGUCCCCCUUUAAGAAAAAAACUGCAUUCCAGAUUUGUGCUACAGGUGAAAUGCUAGCAAAUGUUUCCUCAUAUUACGAGUUUUGUCUAGUAAAAUUGCUAUCUUUUUAUCCAUCAUUCAAUUAUUACUUUUUUUCUCUAUUUGACUAUUUUCUAAAUUAUUAUUAUUAUAUUUUUUUUUUACAAUUUUCUAUUUAAUUUAAAUUUUAAAUCUUGUAAUUAUGGUUUUAUUCCCAUAAUAUUUUGACUUUAUUGUCAUUAUAUAAAGUUUUACCCCACUCUAAUUCUUGACAAAAUACAACUUUAUUCUUUUUGUUUCUCAUAUAUUAUAUCUUUUUAAAAAAUAAUAAUCUUUAUGCUACUAAUAUAACAUUUGUCAAAAUGAGAUUCUUGUAAAAUUGCAACUUUAUUCUCAUAACAUUUAUUUUCUCCAUUUCCGCUUUUGCUUUUAAAAAAUUACAACUUUAUUCCUUUUUUGUUACUUUUUCCUCAUUAAACACUGUUGAUUUUUCACAUUUUGUUAGUUCUUGUUAAAUUUUAUUUUUAGGGCCAAUACCGUCUGUCUUCUUUCAUGGGAAAAACACAUUAUUCAUAUGUCAACAAAUAUACCGUAUACAUAUACUUCUAUACUGUAAACUUCAUUUUGAAAGAUAGAACUUUUUGCCAUCAGUGAGAAAGUAGGAAGUUAUUUCCGAUAAUACAGCGGUGACUUUGAAGUGUUUUAAACCUGAUAUUCUCAAUUACUGUCGAAACGAGUUGACAAAAUUCACUAGAGGUGACGUAAUGGUGACAGGAAUGUGGUAAAAGGUGAACAAAACAGGUUAAGUUACAUA